RNAcentral lists this unclassified non-coding RNA (354 nucleotides) under soil metagenome. Its description in RNAcentral is "partial contains 5.8S ribosomal RNA, internal transcribed spacer 2, and large subunit ribosomal RNA". The stretch from base 1 to 120 matches the Rfam family "5.8S ribosomal RNA", at positions 35 to 154 of the family's 154-position model. The record is from RNAcentral.
GAUGAAGAACGUAGCGAAAUGCGAUAAGUAGUGUGAAUUGCAGAAUUCAGUGAAUCAUCGAAUCUUUGAACGCACAUUGCGCCCACUAGUAUUCUGGUGGGCAUGCCUGUUCGAGCGUCAUUUCAACCCUCAAGCCUUAGUUGCUUGGUGUUGGGAGCUUAUCUUGCCGAAAGGCGGACAACUCCUUAAAACUAUUGGCGGAGUCGCGGUGACCCCAAGCGUAGUAAAUCUUUUUUUUCUCGCUUUAGGUGUUAACGCUGGCUUUCUAGCCGUUAAACCCUCUAAAUUUUUAGUGGUUGACCUCGGAUCAGGUAGGACUACCCGCUGAACUUAAGCAUAUCAAUAAGCGGAGGA